GUUUAUUAGAACAGGGGGUGUGGUAGUAAGUUUAUUAGAACAGGGGGUGUGGUAGUAAGUUUAUUAGAACAGGGGGGGUGUGUGGUAGUAAGUUUAUUAGAACAGGGGGUGUGGUAGUAAGUUUAUUAGAACAUGGGGAGUGUGGUAGUAAGUUUAUUAGAACAGGGGGAGUGGUAGUAAGUUUAUUAGAACAGGGGAGUGUGGUAGUAAGUUUAUUAGAACAGGGGGUGUGGUAGUAAGUUUAUUAGAACAGGGGGUGUGGUAGUAAGUUUAUUAGAACAGGGGGUGUGGUAGUAAGUUUAUUAGAACAGGGGGUGUGGUAGUAAGUUUAUUAGAACAGGGGGAGUGGUAGUAAGUUUAUUAGAACAGGGGAGUGUGGUAGUAAGUUUAUUAGAACAGGGGGUGUGGUAGUAAGUUUAUUAGAACAGGGUGGUGUGGUAGUACGUUUAUUAGAACAGGGGGUGUGGUAGUAAGUUUAUUAGAACAGGGGGUGUGGUAGUAAGUUUAUUAGAACAGGGGGAUGUGGUAGUAAGUUUAUUAGAACAGAGGGUGUGGUAGUAAGUUUAUCAGUAGAGGGGGUGGGGUAGUAAGUUUAGCAGAACAGGGGGUGUGGUAGUAAGUUUAUCAGUAGAGGGGGUGGGGUAGUAAGUUUAGCAGAACAGGGGGUGUGGUAGUAAGUUUAUCAGUAGAG
RNAcentral lists this long non-coding RNA (691 nucleotides) under Salmo salar (Atlantic salmon). RNAcentral describes it as "lncRNA (ENSSSAG00000093566.1)". Lineage: Eukaryota; Metazoa; Chordata; Actinopteri; Salmoniformes; Salmonidae. The record is from RNAcentral.